Molecule: long non-coding RNA, 452 nt
Filed under: Mytilus galloprovincialis (Mediterranean mussel)
Lineage: Eukaryota; Metazoa; Mollusca; Bivalvia; Mytilida; Mytilidae
Source: RNAcentral
CCCUGCGUAAACGAAUACUUUUCUUUGUAGGAGUUAUCUCCCCAAACACUGUUUUCCUUGUUAGCGCAUCUCCUUCGCAACCGUUAAAGAUUAUGACUAAUUUAUUUUACAAAAUUGCUCGUUAUAUCCUUGGCAUGAUUUGUCCUGUUUUGACCGAAGCGAUAUGACCGCUCCAUAUGAGAGUUAUUUCCCCUUAUGCAUCUGAUAUAAGUGAUAUGAAUUUCUAUCUUAUAAAUCAUAAGUGAUAGAGACCUAGGAUCUUUUGAUUUGAGGUCCUUGGUCCCAAAAAAUAAAAAUUAGGUCAAGGUCAAAGGUCAAGGUCAUAUUCUAAUAUUUGAAUUUGGCUUAUUUUCACUUAUAUCCAAAGACUGUAUAAGAUAUCAACAAAUUAUUUUUACUAAAUUGUUAGUUGCGACAUGUCGUAAGAUGUAAAUUUUGAUUGCAAGCGUACA